This 253-nucleotide ribosomal RNA is filed under the name uncultured bacterium. Its description in RNAcentral is "partial 16S ribosomal RNA". It matches the Rfam family "Bacterial small subunit ribosomal RNA", at positions 524 to 776 of the family's 1533-position model. The record is from RNAcentral.
UACGUAGGGUGCAGGCGUUAAUCGGAAUUACUGGGCGUAAAGCGUGCGCAGGCGGUUUGCUAAGACAGGUGUGAAAUCCCCGGGCUUAACCUGGGAACUGCGCUUGUUACUGGCAAGCUGGAGUGUGGCAGAGGGGGGUGGAAUUCCACGUGUAGCAGUGAAAUGCGUAGAGAUGUGGAGGAACACCGAUGGCGAAGGCAGCCCCCUGGGCUAACACUGACGCCCAUGCACGAAAGCGUGGGGAGCAAACAGG